GCGGCCUCUCGUGCUCCGCAGCGCCGGCUCGGUCCGCGGCGGCGUCUCGGCGCGCUCCCCGUCCGGCAUGGCGGAGGCUCAGCAGCUGCGGGUGCAGGAGGCCAUCGACGGCAUGGUGCAGGGCCUGGAGCGGGAGCACAUCCGCAAGAUGCAGGGCCUGAUGUUCCGCUGCAGCGCCACGUGCUGCGAGAACCCGCGGGCCUCCAUGCAGCAGGUGCACCAGUGCAUCGAGCGCUGCCACGCGCCGCUGGCCCAGGCGCAGGCCCUGGUCACGCAGGAGCUGGAGCGCUUCCAGAGCCGCCUCUCUCGCUGCACCAUGCACUGCAACGACAAAGCCAAGGACGCCUUGGACUCCGGGAGCAAAGAGUCGCAGGUGAAGCUGCAGCUGGAGAACUGUGUGAUGAAGUGUGUGGAUGACCACGUGCAUCUCAUCCCCAGCAUGACCAAGAAGAUGAAAGAGAGCUUGGCUGGCAUCGCUCAGUAGCCCCACCCCUGUGCACAAACCCAGGUCCGGCCAGGAAGGGUGCCAUGAACUUGGUGAAACUAGGAAACAAACGUGGGAAUACGUCGGGCGCUUUCUUCCGGCAGGGCAGAUUCACUCAGGCCCGUUCAAGUUCAUACCUCUGGUGCCCUACAAUAAAGACACAAAAUGGCUGCUCCUACAGUCCUGCUCAAGGAGGCGGUUGGUUCUGUGCCAUGUGAUGUAACUGAGUGACAGAAAAUACAAUAUUAAACCUUUUGAAUUCUCCAAAGCUGCUGGGACCUUCUAUUUGUGCUUUCAUCCACAUCAAGCAGGUUUUUUUUUUC
Molecule: RNA transcript, 807 nt
Organism: Notechis scutatus (mainland tiger snake)
Lineage: Eukaryota; Metazoa; Chordata; Lepidosauria; Squamata; Elapidae
Gene: TIMCC
Gene name: TIM double twin CX3C motif chaperone
Source: RefSeq, a predicted model, not a curated record